CGCUAGGACGAACGCUGGCGGCGUGCCUAACACAUGCAAGUCGAGCGGAGUUAACAAGAGGAAGUUUCGGAUGGAAUUUGUAAUUUAGCGGCGGACGGGUGAGUAACGCGUGAGCGACCAACCUUGCACAGGGGGAUAACGGACCGAAAGGUUCACUAAUACCGCAUGAGACCACGGUGUUGCAUGACACAGAGGUCAAAGGAGCAAUCCGGUGCAAGGACGGGCUCGCGUCCGAGUUAGGUAGUUGGUGGGGUAAUCGGCCCCAACCAAGCCUAUGAUCGGUAGCCGACCUGAGGAGGGUGAUCGGCCACAUUGGAACUGAGAUACGGUACCAAACUCCGUACGGGAGGCAGCAGGUGGGGAAUUAGUUGGGCAAGUGGGGGAAAAACCCCCUGACCCAGCAACGCCGCGUGAAGGAAGAAGGUUUUCGGAUUGUAAACUUCUGUCCUUGGUGAAGAGAAGAAGACGGUAGCCAAGGAGGAAGCCCCGGCUAACUACGUGCCAGCCGCAGC
This 512-nucleotide ribosomal RNA is filed under the name uncultured bacterium. Its description in RNAcentral is "bacterial SSU rRNA". It matches the Rfam family "Bacterial small subunit ribosomal RNA", at positions 26 to 518 of the family's 1533-position model. The record is from RNAcentral.